GACGAACGCUGGCGGCGUGCCUAACACAUGCAAGUCGAACGAAGCUUGAUGAUGGAUUUCUUCGGAAAGAAAUCUGAUAUGACUGAGUGGCGGACGGGUGAGUAACGCGUGAGUAACCUGCCCUUAGGAAAGGGAUAGCGUCUGGAAACGGACGGUAAUACCAUAUAAAGUAUAUUAACGGCAUCGUAGAUAUACCAAAGCUGAGGCGCCUAAGGAUGGACUCGCGUCUGAUUAGAUAGUUGGUGGGGUAACGGCCUACCAAGUCGACGAUCAGUAGCCGGACUGAGAGGUUGAACGGCCACAUUGGGACUGAGACACGGCCCAG
RNAcentral lists this ribosomal RNA (325 nucleotides) under uncultured bacterium. RNAcentral describes it as "bacterial SSU rRNA". It matches the Rfam family "Bacterial small subunit ribosomal RNA", at positions 28 to 334 of the family's 1533-position model. The record is from RNAcentral.